This 301-nucleotide ribosomal RNA is filed under the name uncultured bacterium. RNAcentral describes it as "partial 16S ribosomal RNA". It matches the Rfam family "Bacterial small subunit ribosomal RNA", at positions 509 to 809 of the family's 1533-position model. The record is from RNAcentral.
CAGUAGCCGCGGGAAUACGUAGGUGGCAAGCGUUGUCCGGAAUUGUUGGGCGUAAAGGGCUCGCAGGCGGUUUCUUAAGUCUGAUGUGAAAGCCCCCGGCUCAACCGGGGAGGGUCAUUGGAAACUGGGAAACUUGAGUGCAGAAGAGGAGAGUGGAAUUCCACGUGUAGCGGUGAAAUGCGUAGAGAUGUGGAGGAACACCAGUGGCGAAGGCGACUCUCUGGUCUGUAACUGACGCUCAGGUGCGAAAGCGUGGGGAGCAAACAGGAUUAGAGACCCGAGUAGUCCCUGUCUCUUAUAU